AAUAGAUACCCGGGUAGUCCACGCCGUAAACGAUGUCGACUUGGAGGUUGUUCCCUUGAGGAGUGGCUUCCGGAGCUAACGCGUUAAGUCGACCGCCUGGGGAGUACGGCCGCAAGGUUAAAACUCAAAUGAAUUGACGGGGGCCCGCACAAGCGGCGGAGCAUGUGGUUUAAUUCGAUGCAACGCGAAGAACCUUACCUACUCUUGACAUCCACGGAACUUUUCAGAGAUGAAUUGGUGCCUUCGGGAACCGUGAGACAGGUGCUGCAUGGCUGUCGUCAGCUCGUGUUGUGAAAUGUUGGGUUAAGUCCCGCAACGAGCGCAACCCUUAUCCUUUGUUGCCAGCGGUCCGGCCGGGAACUCAAAGGAGACUGCCAGUGAUAAACUGGAGGAAGGUGGGGAUGACGUCAAGUCAUCAUGGCCCUUACGAGUAGGGCUACACACGUGCUACAAUGGCGCAUACAAAGAGAAGCGACCUCGCGAGAGCAAGCGGACCUCAUAAAGUGCGUCGUAGUCCGGAUUGGAGUCUGCAACUCGACUCC
RNAcentral lists this ribosomal RNA (542 nucleotides) under uncultured bacterium. RNAcentral describes it as "bacterial SSU rRNA". It matches the Rfam family "Bacterial small subunit ribosomal RNA", at positions 777 to 1319 of the family's 1533-position model. The record is from RNAcentral.